UGCCGCAACCCUUGUCCUAUGUUUCAUGUGUCAUAGGAGACUGCCCGGGACAACCGGGAGGGAAGGUGAGGAUGACGCCAAAUCAGCAUGGCCUUUUGAUGCCCUGGGCUGCACACGUGGUACAAUGGGGCCGACAAUGGGAAACUAAAGAGUAAUCUGGAGCAAAUCCUACUCAAACGGUCUCUCAAUUCGGAUUGAGGUCUGAAACCCGACCUCAUGAAGCCGGAAUCGCUAGUAACCGCAGAUCAGCCACGCUGCGGUGAAUAUGUCCCUCGGGUCUU
RNAcentral lists this ribosomal RNA (281 nucleotides) under uncultured Nordella sp. RNAcentral describes it as "partial 16S ribosomal RNA". It matches the Rfam family "Bacterial small subunit ribosomal RNA", at positions 1094 to 1382 of the family's 1533-position model. Lineage: Bacteria; Pseudomonadati; Pseudomonadota; Alphaproteobacteria; Hyphomicrobiales. The record is from RNAcentral.